This 253-nucleotide ribosomal RNA is filed under the name uncultured bacterium. RNAcentral describes it as "partial 16S ribosomal RNA". It matches the Rfam family "Bacterial small subunit ribosomal RNA", at positions 524 to 776 of the family's 1533-position model. The record is from RNAcentral.
UACGGAGGGUGCAAGCGUUAAUCGGAAUUACUGGGCGUAAAGCGCGCGUAGGUGGUUGUAGAAGUGGAAUGUGAAAGCCCCGGGCUCAACCUGGGAAUUGCAUACCAAACUGCACAACUAGAGUACGGUAGAGGGGGGUAGAAUUUCAGGUGUAGCGGUGAAAUGCGUAGAGAUCUGAAGGAAUACCAGUGGCGAAGGCGGCCCCCUGGAUUGAUACUGACACUGAGGUGCGAAAGCGUGGGUAGCAAACAGG